CACCACUGGAGCACUGCUGUGUGGGGCUGUCUAUCCUGAUGGGACGUGAUGUAACAAGACUUUGUGUGCUCUCUGAUCGAUUGUGUCUGUAGGUUGCCACCACAGUGUUCACCCCUCUGGAGUAUGGCUGUGUGGGCCUGUCAGAGGAGGAGGCUGAGAGCAGACAUCCAUCCAGGACUCCAUCGAGGUGUACCAUGCCUUCUACAAGCUUCUGGAGUUUACUGUGGCUGAGAGAUGCCAGCAUGUAUUACAUUAAGGAAUUUUCCACCAGGAUUCCUGGAGAUCUGAAUUUUGGGAAAGUUAUGUUGAUGCCUUACCUUAGAUCAUCCAUCUGGCACAUACUGGGUAGCCUAUAGUGUAGUUUAAUAGCCUUAUUUUGCCUCUGGACUGUAGCCUGGAGGUUUGGGGUGGGGGGGGUGUAACGUUGUUUCUUUCCCUGCCUCAGGUGGUGUGUGAGCGGGAUGGAGAUCAGAGGAUUCUGGGCCUGCACUUCACCAGUUCGAACGCUGGAGAGGUCACUCAGGGCUUCGCUAUGGGCUUCCAGUGUGGAGCCACCUUCACUCAUCUGACAGAGACCGUAGUGAUCCACCCCACCUGUGCCGAGGAGCUAACCAAAGUGAACGUCAGCAAGCGCUCAGGGCUGGACGCCACAGUUCCCGGCUGCUGAGGUUAAGCACCCCCUUCUCUCAACACACUUGAGCACAUGGGAAGGAACCUCUUCAUAGAGACAGGGGAAAAAGUGACAGUGCUCUCCUAAAUUCUACAUAACAGUCCAUGUAAUCCUGUAGCUGCUCUCUCGAUCAGCCUAAAAUGUCUCUCAGUUCUACAGCGUUUCAGGGACCGUAUUCAUAGUCUCAGAGUAGGACUGCUGAUCUAGGAUCAGUUUUUCCUUCUAGGUACUAUUGAAUAAGAUUAUAUGGACACGGGGGACCUGAUUCCAGAUCAGCACUCCUACAAUGAGACUCUUUAUGAAUACUAAGGCCCAGUUUCUCGUGCUUGACUGUGUCGUAUCAUUGCAGGGUCCUCCAGGUCAUGGCUGUAAUGCUAUAUGCAGGGAAAGCCAGAUUUGUGUCAGGUUUGACUUGUGGCCUCAUUAACCAGGAGAUGGUUAUCCAAUUUAGCCCCAUAAUGUAAGUACUCUCCUCUACUCCGUAUCUGAAAGCCAUAAGGAGUUCUAGAUCCAGGUUAGUGAAACUUCCAGCCACAAGCAUCGUCCUUUAAAUAAACAGGCUCAUAAAUCAGGAUUAGGGCCCAUUCCAGUUUGUUGAAACAGGACUGUAUAAGAGAGAGAGAAAGCCGUGCAACUAAUGUUCCUGAAAUAUAUUCUGCAAAUAUUGUUGUUUCUCCGCCUGUGCUUCCUGUUCAUUGGUCUUGAGUGAUACAUGCGUUGCCCGGGCGACACUGAUUGAUGUUCUCAUGGCCGUCGCCGCUGUGACACCACCCCGUUUCCCAUGGACACACACAAACAGUCGGCGUGCCGACUGUCAGUCAAAGAGGUGUAGCGCUGGGCCCAGCCGGGGCCUGGCCAGUGCUGCUGCCCCUCUCCAGCACUCUGACCCUCCCCCUCACUCCUCUAAACUCCAAUGCACAAAGGAAUACGGUGGGACUGCAAUAACAGCCUCUGUCAGUCUGUGUGUGGGGAUACCUUGGCCAGCAGUCUCUGGCAACCCAAUCUCUCCCUCUAUGGGAGAGAUGGAGACUGAGGGAACUGCCUGGGCCGGGCCACAGUAGUGGAGGUACCUAACACUACCUAAUGGUGGCGAUAUUGCCCUUUUUUCUUCCUUGCCGGUCAAGAAAUGAUAGGUUAGUGAAGUCUGUGUAUGAAGAAUAAGCCCUCAUGCAUUCAAGGUCCACAUUUUAAUCCUUUAAUCCAUAUUUAAGAUAUCUGUAAUUGAAUAAAUGUGGAGGCCAUGGAGACUUUUGUAGUGCCAACUGAUAACAUUGUGUAUUUACACGGCUGGCAGUUCAGCUCAGUCAUCACCCUACCCUCUGAGAAGGCCAUUUUGUUUAUUUCACUUAAAUGGCAUUAUACUGUUUUUUAAUAGUCACAUACAUUCUGUCGUACUAUUCAAGUCUUCAAACAAUGUCAAGUAUGUCUUUUUACAUGAGUCCACUCUUCACCCAAUCACCCUUUCCUAUAACCACUGGAAUCAUAGAACUAUGCAGUGCUGGACAAGUCAUGCAGUUGAAUUGAGUGGAGCAGAGUAGGGAGUGGUGGAGGUGAGGGGUCUAAGAGGAGGGAACUGGGCUGGUUUAUUUAUGUUUGAAGUCUAAUCUGCCUGGCCUGAUUAAUGAUCCUGACGAGGGGAGUGACAGCGCACAGCACGGGCGAUGGAGGGAGAAAUGGAAAGAGUGUAGAGAUGGAGGAGAGAAGGGAGCAGCAGCGCUACCAGGUUUAUAUGGACCUGGGGUUGAGAGGGAUGCAGCCAGGCCAUGGGGAGGUAGAGGGGGGUAUGGAGAAGGUGUAGAAGGAGGGGGGGAUUCCUGUGUGCUCUGUUCAGGGACGGGGUGCUGACUGAAGGACCCUGACCCCCGCUCGGCAGCAACAGCUUGACUCUAUCACCCACAGACCAGCACAAAGUUAGCCCACAUGCUCUUAGCUGCAAGGCUGGGGACAUGCAAAACACUGACUAACUGUUGUAUUUGCCAUGGAUAGAUAAAUAAGUAAAUGUCUCUGCUUAACGAGGCACUCAGUCUAGAGACUAGGCUGCCUCUGAGCCCAAGGCUACAUACAGAUAAUAAUGUAUUGUCUGUUUACGUUGUUUUUUAUUUCUGACUGUCCUGUUUUUUCUGCGCAAAUCCACAAUUUUUUUUAUAAGUCAGAAUCAUAUUUGUGGCUGAAUUGUUUGCAAUGUCUUUAUUCAUUGUUGUUGAUAUACAGACAGUGCCUUGGGUCUUGAAUUGGACAACCGCGUCAGCCUUACAGAACGUAAUGCUUAGUUGCUCACUGGGGUCAGGGUUAAACUUUCAGGUCGCCAGCUAAUGAUGACUUGCACUAAAACCCACAACUGGGGAGGGCAUGUCUGAUGACACCUGGCGACCAACUUUAGUUACUGUAAAUAGAGUAGCCUAAUUUACAAUGAAGCUUCGUACUGCAUUAUUUAUGUGUAAAGGAAGGAAUAAAAUAUGAGAUUGCACUGAUGACUCCCAUUAAAAUAAUGAUGUCCUCUGUGUGUG
Salvelinus sp. IW2-2015 is the source of this 3177-nucleotide RNA transcript. It is a transcript of the gene named thioredoxin reductase 2, mitochondrial, with no coding region annotated. The record is from RefSeq and is a predicted model, not a curated record. NCBI's taxonomy places the organism in Eukaryota, Metazoa, Chordata, Actinopteri, Salmoniformes, Salmonidae.